GAGUUUGAUCCUGGCUCAGGAUGAACGCUGGCGGCGCGCCUAACACAUGCAAGUCGAACGGAGCAUUGAGAGCUUGCUUUUAAUGCUUAGUGGCGAACGGGUGAGUAACGCGUGAGUAACCUGCCCUGGAGUGGGGGACAACAGUUGGAAACGACUGCUAAUACCGCAUAAGCCCACGAUCCGGCAUCGGAUUGAGGGAAAAGGAUUUAUUCGCUUCAGGAUGGACUCGCGUCCAAUUAGCUAGUUGGUGAGGUAACGGCCCACCAAGGCAACGAUCGGUAGCCGGACUGAGAGGGUGAACGGCCACAUUGGGACUGAGACACGGCCCAGACUCCUACGGGAGGCAGCAGUGGGGAAUAUUGCACAAUGGGCGCAAGCCUGAUGCAGCGACGCCGCGUGCGGGAUGACGGCCUUCGGGUUGUAAACCGCCUUUGACUGGGAGCAAGCCCUUCGGGGUGAGUGUACCUUUCGAAUAAGCACCGGCUAACUACGUGCCAGCCGCCGCGGUAAUAC
Molecule: ribosomal RNA, 513 nt
Filed under: uncultured bacterium
Lineage: Bacteria
Description: bacterial SSU rRNA
Rfam family: Bacterial small subunit ribosomal RNA
Source: RNAcentral